This 247-nucleotide ribosomal RNA is filed under the name uncultured bacterium. RNAcentral describes it as "partial 16S ribosomal RNA". It matches the Rfam family "Bacterial small subunit ribosomal RNA", at positions 523 to 769 of the family's 1533-position model. The record is from RNAcentral.
AUACGUAGGUGGCAAGCGUUGUCCGGAUUUAUUGGGCGUAAAGCGAGCGCAGGCGGUUUUUUAAGUCUGAUGUGAAAGCCUUCGGCUCAACCGAAGAAGUGCAUCGGAAACUGGGAAACUUGAGUGCAGAAGAGGACAGUGGAACUCCAUGUGUAGCGGUGAAAUGCGUAGAUAUAUGGAAGAACACCAGUGGCGAAGGCGGCUGUCUAGUCUGUAACUGACGCUGAGGCUCGAAAGCCAGGGGAGC